Non-coding RNA from Coffea arabica (coffee), 1234 nucleotides. Lineage: Eukaryota; Viridiplantae; Streptophyta; Magnoliopsida; Gentianales; Rubiaceae. The record is from RefSeq and is a predicted model, not a curated record.
UCAUUUCAACUUAGUAUUUCCGUUUGUACCACUCUCAAUCUUCUAUGUUAUCAGAAAAUUAAUGGCCAAGUUUGCUGUUUUGGUUGGUAUCUGCUAUCUAGACACUAAGGGUGCACUCAAAGGCUGCUAUAAUGAUGUCAAAAUAAUGCAAGAACUGUUGACAUCUAGGCACGGGUUCAGCCCGAGAAUCUGCAAAUUCUCACCGAUGAGCCUGGCUCCGCUUUGCUGCCCACUGGUGCGAACAUAAAAAAAAAGCACUCUAUCAGAUGAUUGAGAGAGCAAAGGGCGGUGACAUUUUGUUGUUCUUUUUCAGGGGCCACGGAACAUUUCAAGAUUUUUGGGAAGGCUCAGACUCCAAAAGAGAGGAAGCAAUUGUCCCCUGCGACUGCAAUCUCAGUUACAAUGAGUGUGGACUUUCUUGAUAUGGUAAAUCACAUGCCAGAACGUGCUGAUUUCGUUCUAGUGGCGGACUCCUGCAAUAGUGGGGGGGGGCUAGUUGAUCAGUUGAAGGAGCAAGUUGGACCUGGCCUUCUUCCAGAUGUUUGCUACUCCCCAAAGUCCAACGACACAUCCCUCGUAGCCAAAGUAAUGCCCAUCACAGAAAUUAUGCAGCAUUUGAAACCUUUGACGGGCUUAAACAGCCCGGAUGUGAGGGCACAUUUGCUAAACGUCUUCGGAACUGAUGCCAGCCUGAAGUUUUGAGUGCCAGCUGAUGCUGAAGUGGUGAAGUCGUCCGACGUUGACGAAGGCAUUCUUUUCAGUGGAUGCCAGUUCAAUGAAAACUCAUAUGAUGAUGGAAGUGGUCCUCGUCCUCAUGGCAGGUUUAGUAGUGCACUUUCCGACUCCUUGAACGAGCAACGUGGUCUGAUCACCAAUCAGCAGCUGGUGGAGGCAUGUAGAGCUAAAUUACCAUGGCAGCAUCCAUGUCUCUUCUGCUCUGUCGACAAUGUUAAUGCACCUUUCCUGCGCAGUGGCUGAAUCAAGGCGCUGCUAGCUACUAGGGAAUCCCAACCGACCUAUAGUUGGUCUAUUGUGACAGUGAAAUAUUACUACAAUCUUCUAUAAACGAUACUAAACUAAUGUACCAUAAUAUAUAUCCGAGCACACAUUACAGCGUGGGAGGAGCUGUGGAUACGUUUGUAACCCUUAGUCACUUAUUACUAUAGAGCAACAAUAUGGAGAAGGGAUUCUCCUUUAUAAUUUGACUAGUCUUGUCCUUAAGGAUUCUACAUCA